AACCCUCGCUGUGUGUUAUAUGUGUCACACGGGACUGCCGGUCGUUAAGCCGGAGGAAGGUGGGAUGAUGUCAAGUCAGCAUGGCCUUUAUAUCCUGGGCUACACACACGCUACAAUGGCCAACACAAUAGGUUGCUAAGCCGCGAGGUGGCGCCAAUCCAUAAAGUUGGUCUCAGUUCAGAUUGUAGGCUGCAACCCGCCUGCAUGAAGAUGGAGUUGCUAGUAACCGCAGGUCAGCUAUACUGCGGUGAAUACGUUCCCGGGGCUU
RNAcentral lists this ribosomal RNA (268 nucleotides) under uncultured Leptolinea sp. RNAcentral's name for it is "partial 16S ribosomal RNA". It matches the Rfam family "Bacterial small subunit ribosomal RNA", at positions 1100 to 1382 of the family's 1533-position model. Lineage: Bacteria; Bacillati; Chloroflexota; Anaerolineae; Anaerolineales; Anaerolineaceae. The record is from RNAcentral.